RNAcentral lists this ribosomal RNA (252 nucleotides) under uncultured bacterium. Its description in RNAcentral is "partial 16S ribosomal RNA". It matches the Rfam family "Bacterial small subunit ribosomal RNA", at positions 524 to 776 of the family's 1533-position model. The record is from RNAcentral.
GACAGAGGAUGCAAGCGUUAUCCGGAAUGAUUGGGCGUAAAGCGUCUGUAGGUGGCUUUUUAAGUCCGCCGUCAAAUCCCAGGGCUCAACCCUGGACAGGCGGUGGAAACUACCAAGCUGGAGUACGGUAGGGGCAGAGGGAAUUCCCGGUGUAGCGGUGAAAUGCGCAGAUAUCGGGAGGAACACCGGUGGCGAAGGCGGUUCUCUGGGCCUUACCUGCGCUGAGGAGCGAAAGCGUGGGGAGCGAACAGG